RNAcentral lists this long non-coding RNA (621 nucleotides) under Rattus norvegicus (Norway rat). RNAcentral's name for it is "long non-coding RNA NONRATT024266". Lineage: Eukaryota; Metazoa; Chordata; Mammalia; Rodentia; Muridae. The record is from RNAcentral.
AAAACGUGCAAAGGUAAAUAAAACCAUAGAAUAGAUAUGUAUAACUCCUUGUACGUAAUUAAACAUAUUAAAAUUUAUCCCUAAAUCUGGUGAUUACAUCAAUUAAAGAGAUUUAGUUAUUGAUUUUGGAGAGUAAGGUUUCAUAUGUUUGUCAAGCAUAAUGUAAUAACAUAUUACCAUGAGAAAUUGAAAUGUUUCAAAUACCUUUCAAAUAAUUCUUGCUUGUACAAUCUUGUUUUUAUUAAGAAACCUUUGACUUUUCUGUACUGAUCAUCUAUUUUCUUGUUCCUGUCCUAUUAUUUUCAGAGCUUUACUCCUCCUUGGUACAAGGAAGGCUGGCAUGAUCAUCCACUUCACAUUAGAGGGUGUCUUAUCCACCAGUGUGCUGACACCAAGCAGGAAUUUCCAAGUAGAGAGCAGACUCCCUGUAGUCACAUGUCCCUGGUGAAAAUUGCUUCAUCAUUCUUCAGAAGGAAAAAAAUAAAAAGAAGAAGCAGAUUCUCUUCAGAAUCCUCUAUUCUCAGAAUGACUAGACAGAACUUUAUGCCAAAAUUCUUGCUCAUCUUCCUAUCUUCUAGUUCCAUAAAUAAAAAUAAAAUGUUAAUAAAUGGAUAAAAUUGU